This 45-nucleotide non-coding RNA is filed under the name Schistosoma mattheei. The record is from RNAcentral. Lineage: Eukaryota; Metazoa; Platyhelminthes; Trematoda; Strigeidida; Schistosomatidae.
AUCCAGAUGACGAGUUUCAAAUAGGAUGAAACUUGCGUCCUGGAU